RNAcentral lists this ribosomal RNA (252 nucleotides) under uncultured bacterium. RNAcentral's name for it is "partial 16S ribosomal RNA". It matches the Rfam family "Bacterial small subunit ribosomal RNA", at positions 524 to 776 of the family's 1533-position model. The record is from RNAcentral.
UACGUAGGUCCCGAGCGUUGUCCAGAUUUAUUGGGUUUAAAGGGUGCGUAGGCGGGCUUUUAAGUCAGCGGUAAAAAUUCGGGGCUCAACCCCGUCCGGCCGUUGAAACUGGGGGUCUUGAGUGGGCGAGAAGAAGGCGGAAUGCGUGGUGUAGCGGUGAAAUGCAUAGAUAUCACGCAGAACCCCGAUUGCGAAGGCAGCCUUCCGGCGCCCUACUGACGCUGAGGCACGAAAGUGCGGGGAUCGAACAGG